This 828-nucleotide ribosomal RNA is filed under the name uncultured bacterium. Its description in RNAcentral is "bacterial SSU rRNA". It matches the Rfam family "Bacterial small subunit ribosomal RNA", at positions 555 to 1378 of the family's 1533-position model. The record is from RNAcentral.
UGGGCGUAAGAGCGCGUAGGCGGUCUGUUAAGUGUGAAGUGAAAUCUCCAGGGCUCAACCCGGAAACUGCUUUACAUACUGGCAGACUUGAGGAAUGCAGAGGUUUGUGGAAUUCCUGGUGUAACGGUGAAAUGUGUUGAUAUCAGGAGGAACACCCAUGGCGAAGGCAGCAAACUGGGCAUUAUCUGACGCUGAGGCGCGAAAGCGUGGGUAGCAAACAGGAUUAGAUACCCUGGUAGUCCACGCCCUAAACGAUGGAUACUAGGCGUAAGAGGUAUCGACCCCUCUUGUGCCGCAGCUAACGCAUUAAGUAUCCCGCCUGGGGAGUACGGCCGCAAGGUUGAAACUCAAAUGAAUUGACGGGGACCCGCACAAGCGGUGGAGCAUGUGGAUUAAUUCGAUACUAACCGAAGAGCCUUACCCAGGUUUGACAUCGAUCGCAAAGCCCAGAGAUGGGCUCCUCCCCCACAAGGGGACGUGAAGACACUUGUUGCAUGGCUGUCGUCAGCUCGUGCCGUGAGGUGUACGGUUAAGUCCGCCAACGAGCGCAACCCUCGUCCUGUGUUACCAGCGAGUAAAGUCGGGGACUCACAGGAGACCGCCGGUGUAAGCCGGAGGAAGGUGAGGAUGACGUCAAGUCAGCAUGGCAGUUACGCCUGGGGCUUCACACAUGCUACAAUGGGCGAAACAAAGGGCAGCAAUACCGCGAGGUGGAGCAAAUCCCAAAAAUACGCCCCCAGUUCAGAUUGCAGUCUGCAACUCGACUGCAUGAAGGCGGAAUCGCUAGUAAACGCAGGUCAGCUAUACUGCGUUGAAUACGUUCCCGGG